This 412-nucleotide unclassified non-coding RNA is filed under the name soil metagenome. RNAcentral's name for it is "partial contains 5.8S ribosomal RNA, internal transcribed spacer 2, and large subunit ribosomal RNA". The stretch from base 1 to 122 matches the Rfam family "5.8S ribosomal RNA", at positions 35 to 154 of the family's 154-position model. The record is from RNAcentral.
GAUGAAGAACGUAGCGAAAUGCGAUACUUGGUGUGAAUUGCAGAAUCCCGUGAACCAUCGAGUCUUUGAACGCAAGUUGCGCCCGAAGCCGUCAGGCCGAGGGCACGCCUGCCUGGGCGUCACACGCCGUUGCCCCCCCGCGCCCCGCACCCAACUCUUUGGGAGCGACCGCGGGGCGGGCUGAUGAUGGCCUCCCGUGCGCUCCGCCGCGCGGUUGGCCCAAAUACCGAGUCCCCGGCGACGUGCGCCACGACGAUCGGUGGUUGAGAGACCUCUGUCGCAAGUCGUGCGCGCCCGUCGCGUCACGCGGGCUCGCAUAGCGCCUCGCGCCGCACCCGGUGCGGAGCUUUCAACGCGACCCCAGGUCAGGCAGGGUUACCCGCUGAAUUUAAGCAUAUCAAUAAGCGGAGGA